RNAcentral lists this ribosomal RNA (407 nucleotides) under uncultured bacterium. RNAcentral describes it as "partial 16S ribosomal RNA". It matches the Rfam family "Bacterial small subunit ribosomal RNA", at positions 30 to 526 of the family's 1533-position model. The record is from RNAcentral.
AUUGAACGCUGGCGGCAGGCCUAACACAUGCACGUCGAGCGGAGCGGCGGACGGGUGAGUAAUGCCUAGGAAUCUGCCUGGUAGUGGGGGAUAACGUCCGGCAACGGGCGCGAAUACCGCAUACUAUCAGAUGAGCCUAGGUCGGAUUAGCUAGUUGGUGGGGUAAAGGCCUACCAAGGCGACGAUCCGAAACUGGGCUGAGAGGCUGAUCAGUCACAUUGGAACGUAGACACGGUCCAGACUCCUACGGGAGGCAGCAGUGGGUAAUAUUGGAGAAUUGGCGAAAGCCUGAUACAGCCAUGCCGCGUGUGUGAAGAAGGUCUUCGGAUUGUAAAGCACGUUAAGUUGGGAGGCGUUACCAACAGAAUAAGCACCGGCUAACUUCGUGCCAGCAGCCGCGGUAAUAC